Molecule: transfer RNA, 72 nt
Filed under: Ornithorhynchus anatinus (platypus)
Lineage: Eukaryota; Metazoa; Chordata; Mammalia; Monotremata; Ornithorhynchidae
Description: tRNA-Lys (CTT) (tRNA-Lys-CTT-10-1)
Rfam family: tRNA
About the family: Transfer RNA (tRNA) molecules are approximately 80 nucleotides in length. Their secondary structure includes four short double-helical elements and three loops (D, anti-codon, and T loops).
Source: Rfam by way of RNAcentral
UCCCUGGUGGUCUAGUGGUUAGGAUUCGGCAAUCUUACCGCUGUGGCCCAGGUUCGAUUCCUGGUCAGGGAA